UGCAAAUGAUGUUUUUCUCACGAUGGUCUUCCAAGCCCCCUGGGCUCUGACGACACUGCCUAAAGGCAACACUGAUGUAGUAAA
Molecule: small nucleolar RNA, 84 nt
Organism: Cheilinus undulatus (humphead wrasse)
Lineage: Eukaryota; Metazoa; Chordata; Actinopteri; Labriformes; Labridae
Product: small nucleolar RNA SNORD35
Exons: 1
Source: RefSeq, a predicted model, not a curated record